CUUGGAAGACUGGCUCUAGAGAUUUCAUGUUUAGGUUUUAUAAGUCAGGGGAACGAGUUUUCAUACUACAUGAUGAUAUGCUCAAGUUUUAUCCUUAAUCAUACCCAAAAGGUUGGUGAAUGGACAAUAUAUCCCUGGAUCCACAGCAAUAGCAACUCACUUUCAGAUAGUGAUCAACUUCGUCCUGUUCCAAUACCAGACAUCCAUCCCGCAAG
RNAcentral lists this unclassified non-coding RNA (215 nucleotides) under Hevea brasiliensis (rubber tree). The record is from RNAcentral. Lineage: Eukaryota; Viridiplantae; Streptophyta; Magnoliopsida; Malpighiales; Euphorbiaceae.